GAUGAACGCUAGCUACAGGCUUAACACAUGCAAGUCGCAGGGUAACAUGAGGAAAGCUUGCUUUCCUUGAUGACGACUGGCGCACGGGUGAGUAACGCGUAUCCAACCUUCCCAUAACUACGGGAUAACCCGUUGAAAGACGGCCUAAUACCGUAUGACAUCGUUUGCUGACAUCAAAUAACGAUUAAAGGUUUAGCGGUUAUGGAUGGGGAUGCGUCUGAUUAGCUUGUUGGCGGGGUAACGGCCCACCAAGGCGACGAUCAGUAGGGGUUCUGAGAGGAAGGUCCCCCACAUUGGAACUGAGACACGGUCCAAACUCCUACGGGAGGCAGCAGUGAGGAAUAGUGGUCAAUGGGCGAGAGCCUGAACCAGCCAAGUAGCGUGCAGGAGGACGGCCCUAUGGGUUGUAAACUGCUUUUAUGUGGGGAUAAAGUGCGUGACGUGUCAUGCAUUGCAGGUACCACAUGAAUAAGGACCGGCUAAUUCCGUG
RNAcentral lists this ribosomal RNA (490 nucleotides) under uncultured bacterium. RNAcentral describes it as "partial 16S ribosomal RNA". It matches the Rfam family "Bacterial small subunit ribosomal RNA", at positions 28 to 507 of the family's 1533-position model. The record is from RNAcentral.